AUUGAACGCUGGCGGCAUGCCUUACACAUGCAAGUCGAACGGCAGCACGGGAGCAAUCCUGGUGGCGAGUGGCGAACGGGUGAGUAAUAUAUCGGAACGUGCCCGGUCGUGGGGAUAACGUAGCGAAAGCUACGCUAAUACCGCAUACGAUCUAUGGAUGAAAGCGGGGGAUCGCAAGACCUCGCGCGAUUGGAGCGGCCGAUAUCAGAUUAGCUAGUUGGUGAGGUAAAGGCUCACCAAGGCUACGAUCUGUAGCUGGUCUGAGAGGACGACCAGCCACACUGGAACUGAGACACGGUCCAGACUCCUACGGGAGGCAGCAGUGGGGAAUUUUGGACAAUGGGCGCAAGCCUGAUCCAGCAAUGCCGCGUGCAGGAUGAAGGCCUGGUUGUAAC
RNAcentral lists this ribosomal RNA (395 nucleotides) under uncultured bacterium. Its description in RNAcentral is "bacterial SSU rRNA". It matches the Rfam family "Bacterial small subunit ribosomal RNA", at positions 30 to 429 of the family's 1533-position model. The record is from RNAcentral.